UGCUUAUUGCUUUAGGCAUAUUGGGGAGAGGGUAUAGACAAAAAUUGAUGGACUAAGUCAAUAUUUUGUUUAUCUAGGCACAAGUGAAAAUGAUAAAAUCAAGUCCAAUGAUUUUUAAUGGAACUGUACUCUUAUCUACUGGAGCAAGGCAAAGUCAGCAUAAGGAGAAAUGGAUGAAUGAAUUGGCUGCAGAAAGGGGGAAUAAGAGUUACAAUAAUUUGCAGAUAUAAGAAACUUUGGAAAAGAAGAGAACAAAAUGGAGUGUCGCAAUGUGAGGGAGGUAGAAGAGUGGCAGACAAAGAGAAAGGAGGAGGGAAUAAGCAUUUAUAGAGUACCUUCUAUGUGUCAGACAGUGUGGUCAAGAUGCUGUGAUUUCAUCUGUUUGGAAUCUUCCUCCGAGGAUGCAGAUUUCAUCCUUCUGUGAUUUGGCAGAUGCCUUACCGAGUUGCCUGAGGCUCAGAGAGAUUAAAGGCCGUGUUAAAAAUCACAUAGCAAAUUAUGGUAUGUGGUUGUGAUUGAAUACUACUGUGCCAUAAGAAAUGAUGAGCAGGCUAAUUUUAAUAAAACUUGGAAAGAACUACA
RNAcentral lists this long non-coding RNA (582 nucleotides) under Monodelphis domestica (gray short-tailed opossum). RNAcentral describes it as "lncRNA (ENSMODG00000041785.1)". Lineage: Eukaryota; Metazoa; Chordata; Mammalia; Didelphimorphia; Didelphidae. The record is from RNAcentral.